CGCCCCCAUGUCCUGAGGCAAAUACCUGCUGAUCAUGGAUGGACAAAUAUGGGAGUCGAGUUAGAUUGCUCGAUCUCAUCUUCGUUGUAUGCUAUGCUCCUCUUGACCUGAGAUCUACUUGGGAUAGCCUCUUACGGUAAUAGAAAUUUCACCUUACGAUAUUGCCUGUCAUCCUUCCGAGUCUUGCAUCUCAUGCCCAAU
This 201-nucleotide long non-coding RNA is filed under the name Elaeis guineensis (African oil palm). RNAcentral's name for it is "long non-coding RNA (EGUI_LNC003933)". The record is from RNAcentral. Lineage: Eukaryota; Viridiplantae; Streptophyta; Magnoliopsida; Arecales; Arecaceae.